CCCUUAGAUGUUCUGGGCCGCACGCGCGCUACACUGACGAAUGCAACGAGCUUAUAACCUUGGCCGAAAGGUCUGGGUAAUCUCCAAAUUUCGUCGUGAUGGGGAUAGAUUAUUGCAAUUAUUAAUCUUCAACGAGGAAUGCCUAGUAAGCGCAAGUCAUCAGCUUGCGUUGAUUACGUCCCUGCCCUUUGUACACACCGCCCGUCGCUCCUACCGAUUGAAUGGUCCGGUGAAGCGCUCGGACCGCGGCCUCUUGACGGUUCGCUGUCGAUUGGCUGUGGGAAGUUCGUUAAACCUUAUCACUUAGAGGAAGGAGAAGUCGUAACA
Molecule: ribosomal RNA, 327 nt
Filed under: uncultured eukaryote
Lineage: Eukaryota
Description: partial 18S ribosomal RNA
Rfam family: Eukaryotic small subunit ribosomal RNA
Source: RNAcentral